RNAcentral lists this ribosomal RNA (490 nucleotides) under Streptococcus uberis. RNAcentral describes it as "bacterial SSU rRNA". It matches the Rfam family "Bacterial small subunit ribosomal RNA", at positions 8 to 479 of the family's 1533-position model. Lineage: Bacteria; Bacillati; Bacillota; Bacilli; Lactobacillales; Streptococcaceae. The record is from RNAcentral.
AGAGUUUUGAUCCUGGCUCAGGACGAACGCUGGCGGCGUGCCUAAUACAUGCAAGUAGAACGCUGAGGACUGGUGCUUGCACUGGUCUAAGGAGUUGCGAACGGGUGAGUAACGCGUAGGUAACCUACCUCAUAGCGGGGGAUAACUAUUGGAAACGAUAGCUAAUACCGCAUGACAAUAGGGUACACAUGUACCCUAUUUAAAAGGGGCAAAUGCUUCACUAUGAGAUGGACCUGCGUUGUAUUAGCUAGUUGGUAAGGUAACGGCUUACCAAGGCGACGAUACAUAGCCGACCUGAGAGGGUGAUCGGCCACACUGGGACUGAGACACGGCCCAGACUCCUACGGGAGGCAGCAGUAGGGAAUCUUCGGCAAUGGGGGGAACCCUGACCGAGCAACGCCGCGUGAGUGAAGAAGGUUUUCGGAUCGUAAAGCUCUGUUGUUAGAGAAGAACGGUAAUGGGAGUGGAAAAUCCAUUACGUGACGGUAAC